AGAGUUGGUUUGGGAAUAAGUAUCUUCUAAAAAGAGAUUUAUCUUAAAAAUGAAAGUCCUGAAAAAUUAGUUUAUCAAGAGUUUAUAAAGUCAAAUAUUCCAUAGACAUAGACUGGAAUAGGUAAACUCAUGAAAGUCGUAUCCUUUCAGUAUACCAGUAUAACUUCAAUAUUACAUGAGUAACACUGAGAGAAUGCCAUUAGAUUUGUUCCCCCUUAAUAUUGGAUUUUCGUUUUACAUCUUUGGGAACAACUACAUUAAGAACCUUAUUAAUCAGUAUAUCAGUAAGGAUUAGGUGUUUGCUUUCCGAAAGAAUGUUCCAGUGAGGUGAUCAGAGAGGUUAUUUUCUAUCUAACUUGUUUAUGCCCUGUACCUCUUGGGCAUACUUUGUCUAUAGAAGAAAUAUUUUGACCUUUAGGUACAUUUUGGGCCAGUAGUCAAGUAAUCCUAGGACUGAUUUAAAAAUCUUAGACUAAUUUAAGGUUUGCCUUUUAUACCUAUUUUGAAAGCCUUUACAUUUCUGUCAGGUAAUUUUUCCCAUGCC
RNAcentral lists this long non-coding RNA (544 nucleotides) under Bos taurus (domestic cattle). Its description in RNAcentral is "long non-coding RNA NONBTAT026966". Lineage: Eukaryota; Metazoa; Chordata; Mammalia; Artiodactyla; Bovidae. The record is from RNAcentral.